This is a long non-coding RNA of Thunnus maccoyii (southern bluefin tuna), 202 nucleotides long. RefSeq lists it as uncharacterized. Lineage: Eukaryota; Metazoa; Chordata; Actinopteri; Scombriformes; Scombridae. The record is from RefSeq and is a predicted model, not a curated record. The transcript has 2 exons.
ACAGAUCUUCACCAUCACUGAUGUCAGACCUGAACACAGUGGGAAUUAUUACUGUGAAGCCCAGAACAGAAGAGGACGUCAUAACUCCACCUUAUAUCUGACUGUUGUGGCAGGGAAAUCAGUAUUUAUAAUGAAUAUCAUCAGGGUGAUUCUGGUGGUCCUGAUGCUGAUUCCUCUGCUUCUCUUGAGUCUGUGGACGAGG